AUACGUAGGGGGCUAGCGUUAUCCGGAAUUACUGGGCGUAAAGGGUGCGUAGGUGGUUUCUUAAGUCAGAAGUGAAAGGCUACGGCUCAACCGUAGUAAGCUUUUGCAACUAAGAGACUUGAGUGCAGGAGAGGAGAGUAGAAUUCCUAGUGUAGCGGUGAAAUGCGUAGAUAUUAGGAGGAAUACCAGUUGCGAAGGCGGCUCUCUGGACUGUAACUGACACUGAGGCACGAAAGCGUGGGGAGCAAACAGGAUUAGAUACCCUGGUAGUCCACGCCGUAAACGAUGAGUACUAGCUGUCGGGGGUUACCCCCCUCGGUGGCGCAGCUAACGCAUUAAGUACUCCGCCUGGGAAGUACGCUCGCAAGAGUGAAACUCAAAUGAAUUGGCGGGG
This 394-nucleotide ribosomal RNA is filed under the name uncultured bacterium. Its description in RNAcentral is "partial 16S ribosomal RNA". It matches the Rfam family "Bacterial small subunit ribosomal RNA", at positions 523 to 918 of the family's 1533-position model. The record is from RNAcentral.